CUUCAAAGUUCCCUUCCUGUCUUCAUUCUUCAUCAAUUAAAUUAAAUUCCUGAAAUGCAGAACAAUUUAACUGUCUUUAAAUUCUUUUGCUAAUUUAUCACCUAAGCAUCCACCUUCACCCAAAUAGUUAACCAAAGCAAUUUUAAAAAUAAUUUCCUCACGAAGAAUUCUGUUGCCAGCUGUUAAUUUAAAAAAGUAUAUAUAUAUACUUGCAUAUAUAUAUAUAUGCACAUAUACGCACACAUACAUAUAUAUAUAUUUUUUCUUUUUUUUGGCUGCACCUACAGCAUAUGGAAGUUCCCAGGCCAGGGACUGAAUCCGAGCUGCAGCACAGCUGCAGCAACCAGAUCAUUAACCCACUGUGCCACAGCAGACACUCCCUAAACUUUAUAUUUUUGACCUUCUGAAAAUUUCCCAAGGUUUCUGAUUGCUGAAUGCAUUCUUCCUUGUUGUGCAGCGCUGGCUCAGAUAUCUUAAAUUUUUUGGUGACUCUUUAAUAACAUGAAUCUGGGGGACACUUAGAAACUAGAAGAUGAAAUAUUUGGGAGAGAAUUAUAGCAAAGACUAUAUAGGCUUUUUAAUUUUUCCUGCUAUGUAGCGAAUGACCACAAACUUAGUGGCUUAAAACAGUGCACAUUUAUUAUCCCUCCGUUUCUAUGCAUCAGGGAUCCAGGUUUAGCUUAGCUGGGUUCUCUGCUCAAAGUGCUGGCUAGGUUGCAUCUUCAUCUGGAGGCUGGAUGGGGAUGACUCUUCUUCCAUACGUAUUCAGGUUGUGGCAGAGUUCAUUUCCUUGUGGUUUUAUGACUGAACGUCCCAACUUGUUGCUGGCUGUCAGCUGGAAGCUGUUCUCAGGUCCAAGAUGCCAGCCAUGGUUCCUAGAGCCAUAGUUCCUAGAGCCAUGGCAUCCUAAACAGACUGCCCAAUUUAUCAAGUCAGCAAGGAGGAUCUCUGAAUGCAGGGAGGCCUCAGUCCUUUUAAAGGACAUUCAUCUAAGUCAGCUCCACCCAGGAUAAUCUCCCUUUAAAUACCCCCAAAUUAAUUAUUUGGAACCUUAAUUACAUAUGCAAAAUCUUUUCACUUUGCCAUAUUGUAUUGGUUAGAAGUAGGUCACACGCAAGGGGUAAAGAUUACAUAUGCUCUGGACACAAAGGGGGAAGGGAUUAUCAGGGCUAUUUUAGAAUUUGCCUACUAUCAAUUACUUACAGAAAAAGUUAGUUAUAACUUUUAAACUCUACCACAAUAUUUCCUGGGUGCUUCUGACAGAGCUACUUGACUUGAUAGCAAAAGCCUAGCAAUACUUCUAUUUUCUCUGUGGAGAGAUGCCAACACUGCCAGGGGUGGAAGUGACCAAUGGCCAGAGGUUUUAGGAAGGUAACUGGAUCUGGAACGCUGUUUUCUCACCUUGAACUGGAUGCAUUCACUUGAGUGAGGCACAGAGAUUUAGGGGAGGGAAAGGACACCACUUCUCUGGGUCCAUGAUCCUGUGUCCCAUCUCUUGGUCCUUGGGAUAGCAAGAUUCAGAAUUCGUGAGCUUAGCCUGCCCAUCUCUGGGGAGCCGAAUAUGUGGCCUGAAGGGUUAGCUAUGCCCUGUAGUCCCUGGAAGUGGUUGUCCUGGGUCUUGGCGGGUUGGGUAGGGUAAGGCCACAUUGACCAGAUUCAAGGCUUCAGAGAGUGAUGAGAGGGCCAGAGACUGGCACUGUAGGGCAAGACCCUCUGUAACCAUGGACUUGACAAUAGCUUGUGCCACUGAGAAUGGCUGAGAUUGAGGGGAACGCUCUUACAGCUCUUGGCCACACGCCGUGAUCCCUUUUGUCCAAGGUGCCUGCCAGUGAAGAGGGCCCAAAAGAGGGCUCAGCUCCAAGAACCAGAGGGAACCUGGGUUGUCCUGGGAUGAUUGCUGUGAACUGAGAUCUCACCGAGAUGAACCAGAUGACGCAGACUGCUGGAUCGUGUGGCCUUUGCAAUGCUGGUAUGGUCAGGGACCAUGCUGCCGUCUUGCUAAAGAGGGGCAGAGCCUAGGAAGGGGGAAUGGUCAUCACAGAGCCUAGGAAGGGGCGGCAGCUGGGCAGUGCAACAUCUGCAUUGAACAAGGAAGACUGUGUCUUGGUCCUGGCCAGAGAGUAUAAAUGUCCAUACUGCGUAUAAUCCUGUAAGGGAGAUGCUGCACAGAACUAACUGCCAGGCUGGAAGACUAGCAUGUCUCCAGCUUGCCAUCAAGGGCGCAAAACAGCUGAUCUGCCUGCCCGUGAUCUGCAUUCAUAAGCAUUCUUACUGGCUUGCUUUGUUUUCUUUUUUCUUUUUCUUUUUUCCUGCUUGAAAUAUUUUUUAAAAAUUUGUAUACAAUUUUUAAAGGUUAUAUUCCUUGUACAGUUAUUUCAAAAUAUUGGCUAUAUUCUCCAUGUUGUAAAUACAUCCUUAUGGCCUAGAUUACAUCUGAUAAUUUGUACCUCCCACUCCCCUGCCCCUAUAUUACCUCUUCUCCACCUCCCCACUGGUAACCCCUACUUUGUUCUCUGUAUCUGUGAACUUGCUUCUUUUUGUUAUGUUCACUAGUUUGUGGUAUUUUUUAGAUUCCACAUAUAAGUGAUGUCACCCAGUAUCUGUCUUUCUCUGCUUACUGGAUUUCUGGUAAAUAAUUAAUACACAGUGGUACCUAGUCAAUUGUACAAUUAAUACAUAGUACAAUUAAUACAUAUUCUGGUCUGAAUGUCAGUCUGAGUUUGGUGCCUCUGGAAGAGCUCGCAGGAUUAGAUGGAGGCUGAAGGAACUCCCCAGAGGCAAAAGGACCAGCCCCCAUCGUGACCUCGAAAGACAGCAUCUCUUAGUCUCCAGCUGUUAACACACAUCUGGUGUCAGCCACCUUCCUCCACUUCCUCUCACCUCUUCAGCCACUUCUGUGGCUUCCUCGCCCUCAACCUACAGGCUGCUGCUGCAGACCCUCAGGGGCCUCUUAAAGGGGUUGGGGCAAGAUGCAGAGCUGGAACCCACGCUGGAGAUAUGACUGGGAGAGUGCAUGAGUCUUACUUAGAGCCAGGCAUGGGAAGGCCGAGGCUUGUCACUGAAUGAAACAGAAGAAACAAAGACCCACUUCUGGAAGCCAGGGGGCUGUCUGGCUUCCUGGAGGGGCACGCAGUGCUGAUCAGACUUGGGGAGUUGCCUGUGUGCCUCAGAGGCUGCCUGGGUGCGAUGGAGGGAUAGUUGUGUUUAUGCUACUCUUGGCCCAGGACUGUGGUCUGCACUGAUUGCAUUGCACACUUAGCUUUCAAAGGUUGACCAGCCAGGUCUUUGUCGUCAGCCUCUGCUUGCAGGUGGGUUGCCAACUGGCCCUUCAUUGCCCACCCAGCUUUCAUCGGCUUUUUUGUCACCCAGGUCAUUGCCCUUAAUUCCUGGGACUUCACCAGUUUCCCAAGAACAAAUGAUUCAUACUACUUCUAGUCUCCUGCUGUGUAUUAGCCUACAUUUUUGCAAACGCUGACAAAGUGUGUGAAUGGACCUAACCUUUUUAGGCUCUAUGACUUGGGCUUUGCAUAAUCGUUUGCAUACUGUGCUGCACUCUGGUAAACUGAAAGAAAAAGAUACUGUUGGGACUAAGCCUCAGCAAAAACAGCUUAUUUUGUGCAGAUACUUUCUGGGGGGAAUGAGACCCUAAGACUUGAGUCUGAAAGACAGAAUGCCCGGCUGUACUGAACUCUUAAGCACUUCAACCCAGAAGCUCCCAAAUUCCCUGAUCUUAGUGAAUUCCUCUCUAAUUCUGAGGAGGUUCCUCGAGAACCCUACUCUGAGGGUGGUGAUAAACCACUAGAAUCAUUUAAAUCUCUAUUUAUAAGACAUGAUAAACACUUACAAAAAGCUUUUUGGAAAAACAAUCCUCCAUAGCACAUUGGGAUGGCACUGGACCCCCCCCCCCCCCAUAAAAGAAACCAUAGCUUAAGUCUGUCUGAGUUAGAUUUUGUUUUGGAAAUCCUCUGAACUCAAUACCCAGGCCGCAUACUCUAUGCCACAUACUUUAAGCCCAAAGAGAAUUUUAAAAUUAUUAUUAUUCUCAGGAAUAAACUUGCUGAACCACCACGGUUUUUGUUUUAACUACUAGUUUGCUGAAUAUCACUGUCCAGUUGGCUUGGAGUUGCCCUGGAUGCACCCUUGAGCCCAUCUUCUGAGCCCGUCCAUCACUUGGAGAAGUGCAUUAUGGGCAGACCUCCCUGCUAACUAUAAAGCCUUGGUAGCAAUUUCAAAUUAGUGGGGAGUGAGAGACCACUAUGAAAGUAUGGGAAUAAAUGUCCAGUCGUUUGGGGGACAAUUUGUUUGCAAUAAGUAUGAUUAAUAAAGUGUUAAUAGGCUUAGGUAAAAGCUUUAUACAUCAAUAGCAAACAUUGUAAGAGCCUCCUGCAAGGGGGAAGCAUGAUCAGAUAUCUCACAAUAAGUUCUGCUGAUAUUUGUCUUGGAAGUCACACCUGUCUUUUAAUUUUUCUCGCACCAACAAAAACGGAGCAGCAGAUGAAGAACGUGAGAAUGUGGGAGUAAAAAGUCAGAUUGGACAUCAACUGACCCAAACGUCCACUGUCCAAAGGCCAGGUGGAUUUCCAUCCCAUUUGCACAGCCUGUGUCUUUGACCUUUCAAUUCCCAGAUAACACUUUUUUCUUUUCUGGCCUAAUACUACUCUUCUCUAAUUGAUGGGUUCCGAUGGAUUGCAUCUGUCUAAAACAUGUUUCUUUUUUCCUCUCUCUCUUUUUUUUUAGGGCCGCACCCAUGGCAUAUGGAAGUUCCCAGGCUAGGGGUCAAAUUGGAGCUAGAGCUGCUGGCCUAUACAAAGCUCACGGCAACGCUGGAUCCUUAACCCACUUAGUUGGGCCAGGGAUUGAACCCAUAUCCUCAUGGAUACUCUUUGGUUUCAUUACCACUGAGCCACAGUGGGAACUCCUGUUUCUUUUUCCUUUUUUUUUUUUUUUUUUUUUUUUUUUGCCACACCUACAGCAUUCAGAAGUUUCCAGGCCAGGGAUUGACUCCAUACCACAGCAGUGACAACACCAGAUCCUUAACAGCUAGGCCACCAGGGAACUCCUAAGGCAUGUUUCUUAAACCCAGAGUAGGACUAGAUGAGUGUCCUCUAUCUGGAGUGUAGCCAAGAAACUUCCCAAGACACUUCCAAAGGAAUGAACCUGAAAGUGUAAAAUUCAGUUCCUUCUGCUAUUAGUUUCACAUUCGUUCUGAGGAGGUUAGACUCUUGCCUGAUUGAAAAGAACUGAUGUCAUGUGCUUUCAUUUUGGCCCCAAAUUUCCCCCGUGAUUGAGAAAUCAGUCCAACCUUCAUUGCACGACACCCAGCAAGUAUUUUACUAAGUGCCUUCAGUGAUGGACAGUGGUCAGGAGGGAUGAGCAGAAAUGACAGCGGGAAGGAAAGGAUGCAGGAAGAAGAGGAGGGAAGGGGUAGCAAAGGCAGGUGGAGUCUGAGCUGGACCUUGAAGGACGAAUAGGGUUUUGUCAGGUGGAAAAGACUAGCAGGGAAAUUCCAGUAAUGGGAGGCGGAGGGGUAUAAAACACGAACAAAGGCAGGAAAUUUCAUAGACACAUUAAGGACCACAAGAGAGGCACCGUCCAACGGAAGAGAGAGGUGACCAAAGUGAAACAUGAAGGAGUGGAUGGUGCAUGGGUUUGGGGGAGUGCUGGAGGGAGGCAGAGAGCCCAUGUUGGAAGGGGAAGCUGUGCUGACUAAGCCUUCGAAAACAACAUUUACGAAGAAGACAACAUCUGCCAGACAAAUUGUGACUCUGAUGAGACUUGCCCAAAACAUACUAGAUCUUCAUCUAAAUUAUACUUCUCCUUCUAAGGAGUUACUGUGAAAAACUCAAUAAACACUUAUUCCAGGGAUGCUAUUAGUGUUUUAAAAAGUCUGUAGACAUCCCCUUUGGGAAGUGCAUAUGUUUGUGAGCUACCAAAAAACACCAAGUGGCUUUAUGACCUCACAGCUUUCUGUCUCUGUUUCUCUGCAGAUGGUGUGAAAACCUUCUCUGCAGAUGCAUAUAAAAUAUAUAUCAUUAAAACUCAGCCAGUUGGACAUUUAUAAACUAGAACAUGUGGCAAACAGUGUUACCUAAUUCCCCAAAGCCAAUACAAUCUGAAAAGGAUUUCACUUAUGGACUCAGAUUACCAAAGAAAUGUGCUGCAGGCUGUGAUGGGGUCUUUUUUUUUUUUUUUUUUUUCUUUUUUCUCUUUUUUUCUUAGGGCUGUACCUGUGGCAUAGGGAAGGUUCCAGGCUAGGGACUGAACCAGAUCCUUAACCCACGAAGCGAGGCCAGGAUGGAACCUGUAUCCUCAUGGUUACUAGUUGAGUUCUUCACUUACUGAGCCACAACAGGAACUCCUGUGAUGAUAGUCUUUAAGGAGGGGGUCCCACAGUAUUUUGAGUGGCCACAGCAUGGGAGUCAGUAUGGACCCUCCACAGGUGGCCUCUACAGGUGACCGUUGCCACAGGGACCCUGUCCCACCACUAUAUCCAUUCUGGGGAAUUUUCAUCAUUGUGCUUGGGCAAGUUGUCACAUGACAAUUUAUGGACCACGGUGGCCUGUCAUGCAUUCUGUGAAUCCCCCGGGAAGACCUUACCAGAACUGGGGAGGGAAGGGGAUUUCCUAAAACCAUCAGAAACUAAGACAGACAACGUAACGGCAGAAUCUGAGGAGGACUGGGCUUCAGCUCACUGCACAUCCUGGCUUUGUUUCAGAAAAAGAGCCCUUUUGUAAAAGGAGGAAAGGCCUUUCCCGAGAGCAGCAUCUGGAAAUAGGCUGCUGUGCUCCUCUGAGCCCUGAGACUACUCUGGGGGCCGGCAGGACAUGCCCCCUCAUAGACGAGGGCAAUGUUUUGGAUCCAGAAAGAAGGCAAAGCUGAGAAAGAGCUGAAUAGUAGUCCUGGAAGCUACACGCUACGAACAUGCAGAUGUGAUUCCUCAAUAAAUUGCCCGAGGGUCCUGUGUGUGUGUGUGUGUGUGUGUGUGGUACAUGUGUGCAUAUGUGUGUUGUCUGUUGUGUGUGCACACAUGUGUGUGUUGUGUGGUGUAUGUGUGUAUGGUAUGUUCAUACCGUGUGUGUGUGUGUGUGUGUGUGUGUGUGUGUGUGUGUGUGUGAUGGGUGCUGGGACAAUUCUAGCAGGAGAUAGGAGCUGCCACUGGUCAUCCUUCUCCUUUCACCUUCAGAGUCUGGGGGAACAAGUCAAUAAAGACAAGAGACAAAUGCUAUCAGCUGAAGAACCAAUGCUUUUCCCUCUCGAGGAGGAAAGACUUGUUCUCAAUGACUACACAAGACAAGAGGCUGUCUGUCAUUGGCCUUGAAUGCAUUUUCCCACGUUUGUCCUUUGUCUUUUAGAGUCUCUUUGUGGGCCUUUUGUUUGUUUUUGCCAUUGGAAAGCUUCCACUUGUACAUAGUUGAGGUUCUCAGUCUUCUGUGUGGGAUCACUGGCUGUCAUGACGUGCGCAGAAAGAUCUUCCACCCAUGGUUAUAAAAAUAUUUGUCCAGGAUCUCUUCUCCUCCUUAUGAAAUUUUGGGUUUUCCUUUAGAACCUUUAUUGGUUUUGGAAUUUAUUUAUUGUGUUUGGAAGUUAUUUUGUGUAAUGAAUGAAACAAGAGCCCUAUAAACCUUUCACACCAAUCUGUCCUUUUCUUUCACGCUAGUGCUAUUAUAGCUGAAGCAUACCGUCUGACUUUGGUUUUAAGAGCACAGCUGUGGAUGUGACUCUCCUUCCACACUCACCAUUGAUUUGAAAUACUGCCUUUUUAUCGUACAGUUGGAAUACUUUUAAAAAUGCUUCCUCCCACAAAUGCUAUAUGGAGGUUUUGGCCAGAGAUGGGAUGAUUUUCUAAAUUAUUUUGGAUGAGUGUAUAUUUGUAUUACACUAGACUGAAUAUUUCUGUCCAUGCACAAGGGGAUGCCUUUUCACUGAGUCAUGGUACUUCUAUUUCUUGAUAAUUUUGUUUUUUCCCCAUAAUUCAGAUUUAUUUGUAUAAUGUUUAUGUUUCUGUGCUUUUAAAAUGGAUUAGAUUAGGGUUAUAUUUCUAAUACAUUAUAAGAUGUGAAAACUUUCUCAACUCUCUUUUUCUCUUUUCAACACUUUUGUGCUGAAUUUUAGGCUUUCUGUUAUCUGCAAAUAAAGAUAAUUUUUGUCUUCUUUGUUCUAA
This 8161-nucleotide long non-coding RNA is filed under the name Sus scrofa (pig). Its description in RNAcentral is "lncRNA (ENSSSCG00040057424.1)". The record is from RNAcentral. Lineage: Eukaryota; Metazoa; Chordata; Mammalia; Artiodactyla; Suidae.